CAGAUGGCUUCACUGGUAAAUUCUACCAAACAUUUACAGAAUUCACACCAGUCCUCCUGAAACUCUUCUAAAGAAUGAAGAAGAAGGAACAUUUCAGUGUUGAGCAUCACCCUGAUACUAAGGCCAAAGACACUCCAAGAAAGAAAACUACAGACUAAUAUUCUUGAUGAAGAUCGAUGCCAAAAUCCUAAACAACACACUAGCAAACAGAAUUCAACAACACAUUAAAAGGAUUAUAUGCAAUGGCCAAGUGGGAUUUAUUCCUGGAAUGCAAGGAUGUUUCAAUAUAAGAAAAUCAAUCAAUGUAAUACACUACAUUAACAGAAUGAAGGAAAAAACACACAAUCACUUCAAUUGAUACAGAAAAAGCAUUUGACAAGAUUCAACACAACUUCAUGAUUUAAAAACAGUCAACAAAGGAACAGAAGGAAAUUACCUCAACAUCAUAAAGGCAGUAUAUGAAAAGCCCACAGCUAACAUGAUACUCAGUGAUGCCAGAAUGAAAGCUUUUCUUCUGAGAUCAGGAACAAGAAAAGGAUGCUGCUUUCAUCAGUUCUGUUGAACAUAGUUCUGGGAGUCCUAGCUGGAGCAAUCAGGCAAGAAAAAGAAAUUUAAAAGGCAUCCAAGUCAGAGUUGAAUCCCCGGAAUAGUGAAAACAAUGACCAUUGCGUGCUGAGUACCUGCUCUGUCCUGGCAUCUUACAACUCUGUUCCAAAGUCUGUGCUGCUUCCAUAGGACUGUUCUCACUUCUUUCCAUUUUGCAAGUUCUCAGCCUGGCGGCAGUCUCCCUGCCCGAGUGGAUGGUGCCACCACCUCUUACUGAAGGAGCGGUUUCUGAGGGAGAGUGCCUGUGCUGUGCAGCUGUCUCCCGCGAGGCGCCCUUUGACAAGUGUGUCUUCUGUCUCCCCUC
Molecule: long non-coding RNA, 910 nt
Organism: Homo sapiens (human)
Lineage: Eukaryota; Metazoa; Chordata; Mammalia; Primates; Hominidae
Source: Ensembl